Molecule: ribosomal RNA, 330 nt
Filed under: Triticum aestivum (bread wheat)
Lineage: Eukaryota; Viridiplantae; Streptophyta; Magnoliopsida; Poales; Poaceae
Description: partial small subunit ribosomal RNA
Source: RNAcentral
AUGAAGUUCAACACCCUAGAUGAGGCUUGGAAAUUUUGGGGAUAUUACGGAGGAAGGAUGGGGUUCAGCAUCAGAAAAAGGUAUAAAAACAGAAGCAAAUUUGAUGGGAAAGUUACCUCCUGCAAAUAUGUUUGUUUCAAAGUGGGUAAAAAGGCAGUAGACAAAAGAUAUAAUGUUGUUAAGAAUCCAACAGCUGAGACUAGAAUUGACUGUAGAGUUCGUAUGACCCUUUCAAUAAAUCGUGAAGCUGGUAACUGGGCAAUAUCUGAUCUUUUUCUUGAACACAAUCACACACUUCAAUUGCCAGAAGCAUGCCACCUAUUGCUAUGA